GGGUUUGUGGUCUAGUGGUAUGAUACUCCCUUAGCACUAUCAUCACACCUUGUGAAGUCCUAUAUGGGAGUGGUCCCGGGUUCAAUUCCCGGCGAAUCCA
RNAcentral lists this transfer RNA (100 nucleotides) under Aplosporella prunicola CBS 121167. It matches the Rfam family "tRNA". Rfam says of the family: Transfer RNA (tRNA) molecules are approximately 80 nucleotides in length. The record is from Rfam by way of RNAcentral. Lineage: Eukaryota; Fungi; Ascomycota; Dothideomycetes; Botryosphaeriales; Aplosporellaceae.